UACGUAGGGGGCAAGCGUUGUCCGGAAUCAUUGGGCGUAAAGCGCGUGUAGGCGGCUAGGUAAGUCUGCUCUGAAAGCCCGGGGCUCAACCCCGGGAGGCGGGUGGAUACUGUCUAGCUCGAGUCCGGAAGAGGAGUGUGGAAUUCCUGGUGUAGCGGUGAAAUGCGCAGAUAUCAGGAGGAACACCGGUGGCGAAGGCGGUUCUCUGGGAAUAUCCUGACGCUGAGGAGCGAAAGUGUGGGGAGCGAACAGG
This 253-nucleotide ribosomal RNA is filed under the name uncultured bacterium. Its description in RNAcentral is "partial 16S ribosomal RNA". It matches the Rfam family "Bacterial small subunit ribosomal RNA", at positions 524 to 776 of the family's 1533-position model. The record is from RNAcentral.